Long non-coding RNA from Triticum dicoccoides, 5248 nucleotides. RefSeq lists it as uncharacterized. The record is from RefSeq and is a predicted model, not a curated record. Lineage: Eukaryota; Viridiplantae; Streptophyta; Magnoliopsida; Poales; Poaceae. The transcript is spliced from 2 exons.
AGCAGCCUCCAUUUCCAAAGUGAGCCUGGCACACAUCUCUCUCCCUCAUCCCUCCUUCUCCACCUCCGGCCAUCACCGCAGCCAGGCCGGCGUGGCGGUGCGCCACCAGCUCCACCACUCCACCACAACCAGCAUCACCACCCAUCCAUCCAUCGCGCGCCCAACGCCCGUGCUGCCCUCUUCCCCCAUGUCCCUGCUGCCCUUCUACUCCUCCUCUUGCUGUUGUCUUCUUCCCUGAACUCCUAACCCUGCUAUUGCUCUUCUCCUUCUUCUUCUCUCAACGCUCCUGCUGCUCCUUCUCCUUGCAUCCCCUUGCUGCUGUUGCCUCAACCUGCUGCUUCUCUCUCCCUGACGCCCCUGUUGCUGCUACUACUCUAAUCUCCAACCUGCUGCUGCUCUUCGCCGGCGCCCCUUGCUGCUCCUCACUUGCUGAAGCGCUGCUCUGAACCCCUCUUGCUGCCGUAUUCUUCUAGGACCCCAACUGUUGUUGUUCCCCUUUUCUCUCUUUACUUCUCACGAAUUUCUAAAAUCAGUAUGAUGAAUAUGGUGUACUGUUCUGCACACAUUAUUGGUGCCUUCAUGUGUUUUAUGGUCUGCUACAAUUUCAAUGUACUUGUGUAAAACUAUACAAUAUUUGGUUUCUAGUGUCUGAAUCCUUGUGUCUAUUAUUGUUGUACUAAUAUUUGUCAGCGUGAAUUGGCUAGUGUGAUGUGAGCCCUAUACUUGUGCUUUAUAUUCCUGUUGGUGUCUAGUGUUCAGUUUGUGGUAUCCGUGUUAGCUUUGUACCUGUGAUAUAAAUAUAUAUGUUCGUGUUUUGAUAUAUUUUUGUCCCUGUCAUAUUAUUGUUUCUUCCCUCUGUUAUAUGUAUGAUAGUUAUAUAUGUGUCCUUGUCAUGUUACUUCCCUCUUGUUUUAGUCUAUGCUGUCAGUAGUAAUCUGAAAUACCAAUAAGAAAGCGAGUUCAAAUCUUUAUAUCCCUCUGCUUCUUUUUUCAUUUUGUUUGUCGUCAACCUUGUUUAGUUUAGGUUUUAUUUUCUGCAUCCGUCUCUUAAAAUUGUGUUACCUAGAUUUAGCCGAGCAUAGUCGUCGUCGCCUUGUCCCUGUGGGGAACACGACACUCGCAGUUCGGGCAAAAUAUCCCGAUGUACCUUCAAUUGAUCAUUUUGGCACCGUUUCCGGGGACUAGCGUCGAGCGAUUGUGUUAGGCUAUAGACUAGGUUUUUCUUCUUUUUCUAGUUUGUGCCAUAUAUUUGUGAUAUAUCUCUAACCACUAACCCUUGUUCUAGCUAGUAUCUUUUUGUUUUCUUUUCCUUUUGCAGGUUAGAGCUAUCUGCUCGGUUAUGGCAUAUUAUUUAGAUUGUCUCGGAGAUGCGAGGAACACUAUAAACAGCAUGUAAACUAUUCAAGAACUGAUAAGGACAUUCACCCACUAAAUGUCAGCGUGGUUACUCUCACUCUCCCGAUUGUUAUGGCAUGAGCUUCGCCCCACAGCCUAGCUCAUACCAAAACAAUUACUCAUAUGGGUGGCCUGAGAACCAGAAUAUGUCAUAUAGGAGCAACAACCCUGAGAUCUCACUGUUUGCUUCUAGUAAUCAUAUGCAGGGAUUUAGGUACAAUGAGGAGAGCCACAACUAUGCUCCACAAUAGAUUUAUUCAGCUCCUACUCAUAUACCUCAACACCAGGAGAUGUUUCCAAUGGAGUUAAAUGGUACUCCAUUUGGUCAACCAACAACUCCAGCAACCGCCGAGCAAUCUCAUGUGCAAGUGCCCACACAAGAUGAAUUUGAUGAUACAGACAAGCUCACAUUGCUUAGUCUCGAGUUCACUUGGAGUGCCAAGGAUGAUCCUAUUAGGAAGGUUAUACUAGAGGAAAUGAAGAAGAUCAAGAGUGGAAAAGAGCUAGUUGAAGAAGUAAGGAAGAUUGAGAAGAACAUCAACGCUGGCAGCACUAUUUCUUCAUAGCUUGAGCUGAGUGUUUCUGGGAUUACCCUUGAUACAUGUGAGGUUCCAACACCUUCAUAUCCAGCCAAGGAAGAUAGCAAGUGCCUUGAGGAAGAGAUAUCUCAGAUUGAAGAAGAUGAACUAGAAGACAAGGAACAAGAUGACCAAGAGCUUGAAUGCCCAAGUGAUCAAGAUGAAGAUCCAUUGCCUAUCACUCCUGAAGAAGUAAAAGAAGCUCCUGUAGUUGAAGAUGAAGAACCAGAAAUUCAUUUGCCCAUCGUCAUCCAAGAGCGUGAUAUAGCAGGUUUAUCUAAUCCUCUCGAUGACAUGCGUCCAUAUGAAUUGUUUCCUACUACCUUGCAUUGCAUGAUGUUAUCUGUUAAAGUAGAUUUGAAGAAGUGUUUGCUUGGAUAUGAUGAUACAUAUACUGUUGGUGGCAUUGCUCAUAUUAAUGAUGAUCACACUUAUUUUCCUCAUGCCAAACCUAUGCUUAAUGAUAAAUAUCAUCCUCAUGUUAGUAUUGAGCUUGCUGAUUCCUAUCAUACUCGCCAUGUUCUUUAUAGCUAUGCAUAUGUAAUUGGGUACUCUAUUGAUGAUUUAGAGGGCAUUACCCCUUUCACUUGUAUGGUCUCUUUUGUCGAGUGCUCUUUCAAGUUUUCGCUACUGCACCGUUCACUACAUGCUGACCAGGUUCGAGGUGACAUUCCUUGGGACCGCGGUGGAUUUAGAGCAUGGUGAAGAGGAGAAGCAAUGGGCACAUACAAGGAAGAGAAAAGCUGGAGCGUGCACGAGGAUAGAGAGCAUGAGGAUAGAGAAGCAAAAGGAGAGGAGUCGUGAUGCAAGAAGAUGUGAGAUCAUCGAGCGAGUUCUACUUCAUAAAGCCUGGUGAGCUGUUUCAUGACCCCAAUAUGAAUAUAUCAUCUAUUGAUACAAGCUGAAAUCAAUUGCUAGUUGGGUUGCUUGAGCCAGUUAUUACUUAUUGUCAAGCUGAAAUUCACCUUUGGUAUGGUGCUUGUUGUGAAUAUGUGAACUGAAUUGUGAAUGCCUUGUAAACUAGUGAUCUACAUACUGCUUGCUUUGCUGAAAUUAGUGAAAGUUAUUAGUUUUGAGUGCUCAAAUCCCUAGUACACUAGAAAACUACCAUCAUUUUCUGCAUUUACUUUGAUACACCUAGAUCAUCAAGUGUUAGAUGCUGAUUUUGUGCCAAGUGUCUUCCCAUCCAGAGCAAUCACUUAACCACUAUGGAUUAGCAUGCUAUAUUCUCUGUAUCAGUAGCAUGUGAACCAGAAAUGGAUGAGUGAUGAUUCUUGUUUCCUUCCUUAUGUUUCAUGCCAUUGUAAUUCCUUUGUUCAAUAUGUCAUAAUGAAUAUAAGUCUAGUCUACCUGCAGUAGCAUGUCAUGUUCCCUGGAUCGGUGGCGUGUUAAAUUUGGUAGCUUGGACAGCAAUAAAUAAAUAAAAAUGCAAUAUUUGUCGAACCAUGUGUAUACCAUGUUCUCGGGAUCGGUGGUAUGUUCCUUUGAUGAGACUGAUAAAAUAUUAUCAUUGCUUCCUUCAAAAUUCAAUAAGUAGUUUAGCCAUAAUGUUGUGUUCCUGAUAACAAGUAUUUCUGGGGAUCAUGCUCUCUUUAGGAACCUUUUGGCACAAUCUGCAUUUAAACUUGUUGAUCCACUUUUAUCAUUGUAAAAGUUUAAAAUGAUCGAGUCUACUAGUAUCCUAUUGCUUUGUAGCAUCCUAACCAUUAAUCUUCACUAACUAAGUCUGAAGCAUGCAUUGUUUGGAGAUCUACUUUACUAGGACCUUCUCUAGUCAGUUCACUAUUCAUACUCUUGCUCUUGUGAUAUGCCUUUGCUUGAGGACAAGAAAGAUUUAAGUGUGGGGGAACUUGAUAGAGAAUUUCCUCAUAUAAUCUUUUUAGCCUUUUUGCAUCAAAUUGUAAUCAUAUUUUCAUAUUAUUUACUCGAAAGAUAUUCAAAUACGCAUAUUAUGUCACAUUUACAACACUACGACCUUCUCUAGUCAGUUCACUAUUCAUACUCUUGCUCUUGUGAUAUGCCUUUGCUUGAGGACAAGAAAGAUUUAAGUGUGGGGGAACUUGAUAGAGAAUUUCCUCAUAUAAUCUUUUUAGCCUUUUUGCAUCAAAUUGUAAUCAUAUUUUCAUAUUAUUUACUCGAAAGAUAUUCAAAUACGCAUAUUAUGUCACAUUUACAACACUACUCCAUCUUUUGCAGAAAAUGGCGAAAAGGCCCAAAUCCUUCUAUAUUACAGUGUCUAAGAGGUUGCGGUUGCUGCAUUUUGCGAAGGGACUCGAGUAUGAAGAAUUAAUGAAACGAAGGGCCAACACUAAAGAAGAAAGGGAUCUACUUGAGGCUGAAGAAGAGAAGAAGGAGGGCAAAAGUGCAAAAUGGCAGAUCAAGGAGGGGAUCAAAAUCCCUAGCAGCCUCCAUUUCCAAACCGAGCCUGGCACACAUCUCUCUCCCUCAUCCCUCCUUCUCCACCUCCGGCCGCCGCCGCGGCCAGGCCGGCGUGGCGGCGUGUCACCAGCUCCACCACUCCACCACAACCAGCAUCACCACCCAUCCAUCCAUCCGCACCACAUCCACCUCACGCAACUCACCAGACAGAGGGCCGGCGGUGCCUGAUCCAUCACGCGCCCAACGCCCGUGUUGCCCUCUUCCCCCAUCUCCCUGCUGCCCUUCUACUCCUCCUCUUGCUGUUGUCUUCUUCCCUGAACUCCUAACCCUGCUAUUGCUCUUCUUCUUUUUCUUCUCUCAACGCUCCUGCUGCUCCUUCUCCUUGCAUCCCCUUGCUUUUGUUGCCUCAACCUGCUGCUUCUCUCUCCCUGACGCCCCUGCUGCUGCUAAUACUCUAAUCUCCAACCUGCUGCUGCUCUUCGCCAGUGCCCCCUUGCUGCUCCUCACUCGCUGAAGCUCUGCUCUGAACCCCUCUUGCUGCCGUAUUCUUCUAGGACCCCAACUGUUGUUGUUCCCCUUUUCUCUCUUUACUUCUCACGAAUUUCUAAAAUCAUUAUGAUGAAUAUGGUGUACUGUUCUGCACACAUUAUUGGUGCCUUCGUGUGUUUUAUGGUCUGCUAUAAUUUCAAUGUACUUGUGUAAAACUAUACAAUAUUUGGUUUCUAGUGUCUGAAUCCUUGUGUCUAUUAUUGUUGUACUAAUAUUUGUCAGCGUGAAUUGGCUAGUGUGAUGUGAGCCCCGUACUUGUGCUUUAUAUUCCUGUUGGUGUCUAGUGUUCAGUUUGUGGUUGUUAGCUUUGUACCUAUGAUAUAAAUAUAUAUGUUCGUGUUUUGAUA